RNAcentral lists this transfer RNA (63 nucleotides) under Rattus norvegicus (Norway rat). It matches the Rfam family "tRNA". From Rfam's summary of the family: Transfer RNA (tRNA) molecules are approximately 80 nucleotides in length. Their secondary structure includes four short double-helical elements and three loops (D, anti-codon, and T loops). Further hydrogen bonds mediate the characteristic L-shaped molecular structure. tRNAs have two regions of fundamental functional importance: the anti-codon, which is responsible for specific mRNA codon recognition, and the 3' end, to which the tRNAs corresponding amino acid is attached (by aminoacyl-tRNA synthetases). tRNAs cope with the degeneracy of the genetic code in two manners: having more than one tRNA (with a specific anti-codon) for a particular amino acid; and 'wobble' base-pairing, i.e. permitting non-standard base-pairing at the 3rd anti-codon position. Lineage: Eukaryota; Metazoa; Chordata; Mammalia; Rodentia; Muridae. The record is from Rfam by way of RNAcentral.
GGGGAUUUAGCUCAGUGGUAGAGCACUUGCCUAGCAAGCACAAGGUCCUGGAUUCAAUCCUCA